Molecule: ribosomal RNA, 630 nt
Filed under: Alternariaster helianthi
Lineage: Eukaryota; Fungi; Ascomycota; Dothideomycetes; Pleosporales; Leptosphaeriaceae
Description: eukaryotic LSU rRNA
Rfam family: Eukaryotic large subunit ribosomal RNA
Source: RNAcentral
UCUUGACCUCGGAUCAGGUAGGGAUACCCGCUGAACUUAAGCAUAUCAAUAAGCGGAGGAAAAGAAACCAACAGGGAUUGCCCUAGUAACGGCGAGUGAAGCGGCAACAGCUCAAAUUUGAAAUCUGGCUCUUUCAGGGUCCGAGUUGUAAUUUGCAGAGGGCGCUUUGGCAUUGGCAGCGGUCCAAGUUCCUUGGAACAGGACGUCACAGAGGGUGAGAAUCCCGUACGUGGUCGCUAGCCUUUACCGUGUAAAGCCCCUUCGACGAGUCGAGUUGUUUGGGAAUGCAGCUCUAAAUGGGAGGUAAAUUUCUUCUAAAGCUAAAUACUGGCCAGAGACCGAUAGCGCACAAGUAGAGUGAUCGAAAGAUGAAAAGCACUUUGGAAAGAGAGUCAAAUAGCACGUGAAAUUGUUGAAAGGGAAGCGCUUGCAGCCAGACUUGCCUGUAGUUGCUCAUCUGGGCUUUUGCCCAGUGCACUCUUCUAUAGGCAGGCCAGCAUCAGUUUGGGCGGUUGGAUAAAGGUCUCUGUCAUGUACCUCUCUUCGGGGAGGCCUUAUAGGGGAGACGACAUGCAACCAGCCUGGACUGAGGUCCGCGCAUCUGCUAGGAUGCUGGCGUAAUGGCUGUAA